Molecule: ribosomal RNA, 558 nt
Filed under: uncultured bacterium
Lineage: Bacteria
Description: partial 16S ribosomal RNA
Rfam family: Bacterial small subunit ribosomal RNA
Source: RNAcentral
UGGGGAAUUUUGGACAAUGGGGGAAACCCUGAUCCAGCCAUCCCGCGUGUGCGAUGAAGGCCUUCGGGUUGUAAAGCACUUUUGGCAGGAAAGAAACGUCGCGGGUUAAUACCCCGCGGAACUGACGGUACCUGCAGAAUAAGCACCGGCUAACUACGUGCCAGCAGCCGCGGUAAUACGUAGGGUGCAAGCGUUAAUCGGAAUUACUGGGCGUAAAGCGUGCGCAGGCGGUUCGGAAAGAAAGAUGUGAAAUCCCAGAGCUUAACUUUGGAACUGCAUUUUUAACUACCGGGCUAGAGUGUGUCAGAGGGAGGUGGAAUUCCGCGUGUAGCAGUGAAAUGCGUAGAUAUGCGGAGGAACACCGAUGGCGAAGGCAGCCUCCUGGGAUAACACUGACGCUCAUGCACGAAAGCGUGGGGAGCAAACAGGAUUAGAUACCCUGGUAGUCCACGCCCUAAACGAUGUCAACUAGCUGUUGGGGUCUUCGGACCUUGGUAGCGCAGCUAACGCGUGAAGUUGACCGCCUGGGGAGUACGGUCGCAAGAUUAAAACUUAAAU